This 274-nucleotide ribosomal RNA is filed under the name uncultured bacterium. RNAcentral describes it as "partial 16S ribosomal RNA". It matches the Rfam family "Bacterial small subunit ribosomal RNA", at positions 523 to 796 of the family's 1533-position model. The record is from RNAcentral.
AUACGGAGGGUCCAAGCGUUAUCCGGAUUUAUUGGGUUUAAAGGGUGCGCAGGCGGACCUGUCAGUCAGUGGUGAAAUCCCGGGGCUCAACCCCGGAACUGCCAUUGAUACUACAGGUCUUGAAUACGGUUGAAGUAGGCGGAAUGUAGCAUGUAGCGGUGAAAUGCAUAGAUAUGCUACAGAACACCGAUCGCGAAGGCAGCUUACUAAGCCGAUAUUGACGCUCAGGCACGAAAGCGUGGGUAGCGAACAGGAUUAGAAACCCUAGUAGUCC